Molecule: ribosomal RNA, 1260 nt
Filed under: Chinaberry yellows phytoplasma
Lineage: Bacteria; Bacillati; Mycoplasmatota; Mollicutes; Acholeplasmatales; Acholeplasmataceae
Description: bacterial SSU rRNA
Rfam family: Bacterial small subunit ribosomal RNA
Source: RNAcentral
UGAAACGACUGCUAAGACUGGAUAGGAGAUAAGAAGGCAUCUUUUUAUUUUUAAAAGACCUAGUAAAAUAGGUAUGCUUAAGGAGGGGCUUGCGUCACAUUAGUUAGUUGGUAGGGUAAAAGCCUACCAAGACGAUGAUGUGUACCCGGACUGAGAGGUUGAACGGCCACAUUGGAACUGAGACACGGUCCAAACUCCUACGGGAGGCAGCAGUAGGGAAUUUUCGGCAAUGGAGGAAACUCUGACCGAGCAACGCCGCGUGAAUGAUGAAGUAUUUCGGUAUGUAAAGUUCUUUUAUUAAGGAAGAAAAGAUGGUGGAAAAACCAUUAUGACGGUACUUAAUGAAUAAGCCCCGGCUAACUAUGUGCCAGCAGCCGCGGUAAUACAUAGGGGGCGAGCGUUAUCCGGAAUUAUUGGGCGUAAAGGGUGCGUAGGCGGUUUAAUAAGUUUAUGGUCUAAGUGCAAUGCUUAACAUUGUGAUGCUAUAAAAACUGUUUGACUAGAGUUGGAUAGAGGCAAGUGGAAUUCCAUGUGUAGUGGUAAAAUGCGUAAAUAUAUGGAGGAACACCAUGAGCGAAGGCGGCUUGCUGGGUCUUAACUGACGCUGAGGCACGAAAGCGUGGGGAGCAAACAGGAUUAGAUACCCUGGUAGUCCACGCCGUAAACGAUGAGUACUAGACGUUGGGUUAAACCAGUGUCCGAAGUUAACACAUUAAGUACUCCGCCCUGAGUAGUACGUACNCCAAGUAUGAAACUUAAAGGGAAUUGAACGGGACUCCGCACAAGCGGGGGAUCAUGUUGUUUAAUUCGAAGGUACCCGAAAAACCUCACCAGGUCUUGACAUGCUUCUGCAAAGUUGUAGAAACACAGCGGAGGUUAUCAGUUGCACAGGUGGUGCAUGGUUGUCGUCAGCUCGUGUCGUGGGAUGUUGGGUUAAGUCCCGCAACGAGCGCAACCCCUUGUUGUUAAUUGCCAUCAUUAAGUUGGGGACUUUAGCAAGACUGCCAGUGAUAAAUUGGAGGAAGGUGGGAACGACGUCAAAUCAUCAUGCCCCUUAUGACCUGGGCUACAAACGUGAUACAAUGGCUGUUACAAAGGGUAGCUGAAGCGCAAGCUUUUGGCAAAUCUCAAAAAAACAGUCUCAGUCCGGAUUGAAGUCUGCAACUCGACUUCAUGAAGUUGGAAUCGCUAGUAAUCGCGAAUCGGCAUGUCGCGGUGAAUACGUUCAACGGGGUUUGUACACNCCGCCCGUCAAAUCGA